RNAcentral lists this unclassified non-coding RNA (1332 nucleotides) under Zea mays. RNAcentral describes it as "misc RNA Zm00001eb227620". Lineage: Eukaryota; Viridiplantae; Streptophyta; Magnoliopsida; Poales; Poaceae. The record is from RNAcentral.
GCCCAAGCUAAUUUCCCCGCGUCAAGAAAACAUGAUCCUCUCGGGAAGUCGGGAUUUGAUAAAUCAGCAAUGCUCAAGAAAUUUGUUAUACAUCUUCUUUCAUCACAAUUCACAAGUCGAUGGCACCGAAGUGAACUAAUUCAACAAUUGUUGUUGUUGUUAGUGUUCCUGCACAGUAGGAGUAUCUGUCGAUCUAUGCACUGUACCGUACCAGUAUUAUUAUUAUUUUUGGUCUGUACAAGAAUGGCGCAUGUGUCAAAUUGUGUUGCUGAGCCUGAGGGAAUGAACAAAUGAAUGACAGAACAAACGCGUAGCUGCAGAGGAGACUGCAGGCAGAGACAGAGCAGGUGAACAAUGGGUGACGCCUGCCUGGCUGCCAGGAGGACGCUACGGCGACCUGGAGCGGCAGUCGAUGGGCAUGGCGGUGCCAUUGCCGGGGUAGAAGAAGAGGAAGCGGCAGGAGAUGCGCGUCCAGAACUGGAGCGAGGCGAAGAUGCCGACCUUCCAGGUGGUGCGCGCCUUGCCGAAGAGGUCGAGCGGGACGACGCCCGCCCGGAGCGCGCCGGCCAUGUACUCCAUCCCCUCGGGGCUGAGCUGGCGCCCCGCCGACACGACCUGGUAGCGGAGCGGGAAGGAGCUGCGGCGCGGCACAGCGAAGGUGCCCGCGCGGAGCAGCGCCACCUCGGCGCCGCGGAAGCCCACGGCGAGGUUGACGCGGGAGAAGGUGGCGUCGGUGCGCGAGUUGGAGUUCUCCGCCAGCACCGUCAGCGCCAGCUGCAGGUCGCGGAUGGUGCCCGACUGGUCGUACGCCAGCGUCUCCAGCCGCGCGGACGAGACCAGCAGGUACGGCGUCGUGGGCUUGUACAGCAGGUACACGGCGAACACGGUGGCGCCCGUCACGAUCACGCCGAUGGUCAGCACCGUGCACAGGAUCACCAGAAGCCACACCAGGCCGGAGCUCCAGCUCCGCUCCUCCUGCCGGAUCCGCUGCACGCCGUGCCGCCUCUUGUACCCGUGGCCGUGCUGCGCCACCUCGCCGCCUGUCGGAGAGGCAGCGGCAUGAGGGGCGCCGUGGGCUGGCUCUGCGCUCCCGUCCAUUGCUGCUCGCUCCGGCGCCGCCGUGCCGGCGAUGCCCGGGUGGAACUGGAAGGGAUUAAUACUGGAGUGGCAUGGGUGCAAAGCAGAGAGGGAAGUAUGGUAAGGUUGGGGGAGGCAAGGGUUUGGUAUCUCGCUCCAUUCAUUCCUUGCUCUCUUCCCCAGCUUCCUUUUCCCGGAGCUAAUCCUAAUCCGCAAGCUCAAGGUGCCUCCUUGCUCGCCUCGCUUGCUUGCUUU